CAAUAGCGUAUAUUUAAGUUGUUGCAGUUAAAAAGCUCGUAGUUGGAUUUCGGAUGGGAUUUGCCGGUCCGUCGUUACGAUGUGCACUGGCUAGUCCUAUCUUGUUGUCGGGGACUAGCUCCUUGGAUUCACUUCCUGGGACUAGGAGCUGACGAGGUUACUUUGAGUAAAUUAGAGUGUUCAAAGCAAGCCUACGCUCUGAAUACAUUAGCAUGGAAUAACACGAUAGGACUCUGGCUUAUCUUGUUGGUCUGUGAGACCAGAGUAAUGAUUAAGAGGGACAGUCGGGGACAUUCGUAUUUCAUUGUCAGAGGUGAAAUUCUUGGAUUUAUGAAAGACGAACUUCUGCGAAAGCAUUUGUCAAGGAUGUUUUCAUUAA
RNAcentral lists this ribosomal RNA (379 nucleotides) under uncultured eukaryote. RNAcentral's name for it is "partial 18S ribosomal RNA". It matches the Rfam family "Eukaryotic small subunit ribosomal RNA", at positions 592 to 976 of the family's 1831-position model. The record is from RNAcentral.